Molecule: ribosomal RNA, 253 nt
Filed under: uncultured bacterium
Lineage: Bacteria
Description: partial 16S ribosomal RNA
Rfam family: Bacterial small subunit ribosomal RNA
Source: RNAcentral
UACGUAGGGGGCAAGCGUUGUCCGGAUUUAUUGGGCGUAAAGCGCGUGUAGGCGGCCAUGCAGGUCCGCUGUGAAAACUCGAGGCUCAACCUCGAGAUGUCGGUGGAAACCGUUUGGCUAGAGUCCGGAAGAGGAGAGUGGAAUUCCUGGUGUAGCGGUGAAAUGCGCAGAUAUCAGGAAGAACACCAAUGGCGAAGGCAGCUCUCUGGGACGGUACUGACGCUGAGACGCGAAAGCGUGGGGAGCGAACAGG